GUGCAUUAUGAUUGUGAAAAUUUUUAAAUUUUUACUUACCAAUGAAUGAUUAUAUUUUUUGUGACUUUUAAAAAAAUUAUUUAUUGUUGUGCACCACUCAGUAAAUUACUCAGCGAUGGCUUUUUCUUACUGUCGCAGAUAAGGAGAAAGAUAAGGCAGCUGAGUGAGCUACUUAUAGCUGCAGUUGAAGAAAUUUUGGAAUCUUUUUUUUUUGGUAUAAUAUUUGUACUCUUGUAAAUUUCUUUUUGAUGUAAUUUAUUUGUUCAUAUGUAUCUAUAGAACCAAAUGAGCAGUUGUACAAUAAAAUUUGUAAUAAAGUUAUUUUCUCUCUUUUCCUUGAAUUGAAAAUUUUAUAUAUGAAUUGCACUAAAUUAAAUGAUAUUGAGAUUGCUAGAAAUUGUGUUGGUUGAGAUUGAAUUGUGUUGAUUUUAUUGGAGUUGCGGACAUUACGU
RNAcentral lists this unclassified non-coding RNA (452 nucleotides) under Hevea brasiliensis (rubber tree). Lineage: Eukaryota; Viridiplantae; Streptophyta; Magnoliopsida; Malpighiales; Euphorbiaceae. The record is from RNAcentral.